CUUUAUGGCCAUGCCUCCCUGAACAAGCCCAAUCCUGUCUGAUCUUGGAAGCUAAGCAGGGACAGGUCUGGUUAGUACUUGGAUGGGAGACAACCUAGGAAGACCAGGUGCUGUAGAGA
RNAcentral lists this ribosomal RNA (119 nucleotides) under Pteropus alecto (black flying fox). Lineage: Eukaryota; Metazoa; Chordata; Mammalia; Chiroptera; Pteropodidae. The record is from RNAcentral.